This 758-nucleotide long non-coding RNA is filed under the name Equus caballus (horse). Its description in RNAcentral is "lncRNA (ENSECAG00000042017.2)". Lineage: Eukaryota; Metazoa; Chordata; Mammalia; Perissodactyla; Equidae. The record is from RNAcentral.
CUUCAUUCAGAACUCUGCAUGCUGCCAUGUCACUGGAGCAUCCUGCGACUUCAAGUGAGCUAUGUCUUCCAUGAGACCUAUUAGAUGUGCUCACACUGAUUCCCUACGAGACAGAUGAGAGAGACGAGCUCAGAAAGAAAUAGCCUGAAAGCAGACGAUGCAGGAUUUAUCCCGGAGCUCGAUCCCUGCUGGCUGGACCAGCUUGGAGUCACAUAUGAGACUGGGCACGUCAUUCUCUCAGGUGAUAAAUUCCUGCUUUCAGCUAUGGAAAGACAACAUUACAAGUUUCGCAAUUUAAGACGUAAACCAGCAAAGAAGAAUGCAAAUAGCAAAGUGUGAUAAUUUUCUUUGCAGAUACCCAAGCCCGAGACAACCCUUUUGAAGACAUAUGAUGUUGAAGACAUAAGAAUCCUUUUCACCUUGAGCACUCGCAAUGUUGUGAAAGAGAGACCAAGAAUCUCCUGCGUCUAUGGCUCUAGGGAGAAAGGUCAGAUAACAGAAGAUGAGAAAACCAAGGCUCUGAGAGGGGCAGGACCUUGUACCAUAUUACAAGGAUGGUUUUGGACUUGGAGCCUUUAAAAGAUCUCAAUAUUGCUUAUUUUAAAGGAUUACAAUGGCACUCUGUAACAGAUCUAAGAACAAACAUAGAGUCACCAAAAGCUGCUGUAGAAUGACUUACAAGCUACCUAAAACAGGAGUGAAAAAUAAAAGUGAAAGUGGAGAAGGUUUACAAGAGAUAAUAUGCUUGUGGCUCUUUU